CUGCCAUCAAUCAAUCUCUCCAACAAACAAAACUCCUUUCCUCUCAAUAAAAUAUUCAGUCCCAACUGAGAAUCCUUGAUCUUCAUCCAUCCUCUUGCUUGCUUCCCCCCACCAUCACCGUCAAAUCUUCCAGCUUUGAUGAAAAAGCAUCUUCAAAGUUCUCAGCUUUUCGAUCUCCAGCAGCUCCCACCUGCUCCCUCCAGAUCCCUAAUUCCUGCCCCUUGCCCCGGCCUCAGCAUUCCAAUCGCAAUGUCAAUGCGCCGGUGGACCUUGCUCAAGGUCAUCGUUCUCGGCGACAACGGGGUUGGGAAGGUAAAGUUCCCCUCUGUCUUCGACUCUCCAAGAUAAAGUUCAAUGCUUGUCGACAGGAUUUUCGAACAGUGGCUUUCACUCCCUGAGACUGAUUGCGAUGAUGAUGAUGAGGAUGAUAUAAUGGCUUUGUUGGAAGAGCUCGAACUGAUAAAGAAGGAAAGGGCAGAGGAGAAGAGGUAAGGCAAUUCACUUCAGGGACUUGUAAUGAAUCGAGUAGAUUUCAAAUUGGAAUAAAAAAAAUUUACAGGUUCCAACAGGGUACCCGGAACCUGUGGUAUAAUACAGGUUAUGGGUAGGUUCCGGUUCUAGGAUUCAACAGGGUAGGGUCCGGAUCCAAAAUCUUGGAACCGGUCCCUUACAGGGUAGGGUCCGGGUAUUGUGAAAAAAACAGGGUACCCGGAACCGAUCACCCCUAGUCACAGCGUUGUAUGUUGUCAAUGAGCCUUGUUUGCUUGAUGGUCCAAAAUGGGGUGCUGACAGGUUUAGUUCCCAAUCCUAGGAACAGAAGCUGAACAUUAUUUUUUAUUUUCGGUUCGGUUUGAAAUUGAGCUCUCUAGGAUAGAAAUCGAACCAAACUGACUAUUUUUGGUUCGGUUUUUGGGUCGGUUCGAUUUGAACCGAAUAACGGACAUCCCUAGCAAACAAUCCAAUCUGAGGCUCCCCUACUUGUAUCUUCUUGGGCUGCAAAAGGAUCUGAUCUAAGUGUGUCGGGUAAUGUAUGCCUUAGUGCUGCAUCGGGUUUGUUCUCUUGGUUUACUAGUGACUUGAGAAGAUUCCCAGUGGUUCUGUACUUUAAUGAGAAUGUAGAGGGCAUCAAUUCAUCGACAGUAACUGUUGAAUUUGGACGAGUUUGGGUUGCACAUGACAACUCAUGACAAGCAAAGAUCUUACAUGGACAACUCAUGGACGAGCAAAGAUCUUACAUGGAGGCCGCUUUCACCAAGGAAAGCUCAAUUUGGGCAAGUUUGGGUUGCACAACAUAGAUAUAUCUAUCUAGUGUAGGUCUUGAUUCCUUGAGCCCCCAUAGAGGGGAGGUGAGUCUGGGACAUUGCCCAGGCAUCAUGUCUUCAAGUGGUCUUCAGCUGAGCAAACCUUUUCGAUUAGAAUACACAAUAGUUGCAAAACCUAUUGAAACAAAAAUCUUCUGAAAGGCAUGAUAAUGAGAUACUUCAAUGGAAAGAAGAUGACUUUCAUAAUUUUUUUGAAAGAAAUCAUACUUCAGAUCAAAAUUGAAUACUCUUAUACUCAAUUUCAAAAAGAAAAGAAAAGAAAAGAAAAGAAAAAAACGUGGCUUUUGGGUUGGGUUCUGACCAUUCCAAGAUUUAGUCUGUUUCGGAUCUUUUGUUCCAGGGAUUAUAUUGUACAAUCCAAUUCUUUGAAGUUUCAUGUUCGACCUGAUCAUGUUAUCGAGGUAUUCUUUCCAAUCUCAUCAACCGAACAUGAUUGCACGUCUCUUGUGUGUACAUCAAAGAUUCUUUACUAGAUUUCAGUCCCAUUUGGUAUGCUGGAAUGAUAUGAAAAGGAAUCAAAUGGAAAUCCAUCAUUCUACUCCAUUUCCUUAUACAUGGAGAGAUACUUGUAUGUGUUAAAAAGAGCAUUUCAAUAGGAGGAAAUUUUUUUGACAACAUGAUGAAAUGGUCGUUCCUUCGAAAAACUUGUUAAGUCUCGUUUGCUACGUGGGUAUGAAAUGGAAUGAACAUUCCAUCCUUCCUCUACAUUUCCUUAUUUAGUGUCAUUUUUGUGAGUUGGAAAAGGCAUUCCUCAUAAUAACGUGUUUCUUCAAUUUGAUGGAACGGGCAUCCCUUGUGGAAAAAAAGAGAGUAAAUAAUAGUCUUUCCCUUGUUUCACCUCCUUUUUGUGCAAGUAUCAUAUAUUUGCUAUAAAUUUCAUAAAAAAAUAUAUAUAUAUAUACAUAAUUAUAUCUCGGUAAAUAAGACCAAUGUUCUCAUUGUAUUCCUUUAUAUUGUCAUGUAAUUAGACAAAAAAUCAUAGUUUUUCUCUAACAUUUUAAAUUAUUUUAUAAAAUGCAUUUUAUUUUAUUUUCGUAUACCAAAGUGGAUCUUUAUUUAGACAAGAGCGACGGGCAUACCACUAGAGUAUAUUUCUUUUUUUACUCAACACCUUUAAGCCCUAAAACAAUAUAUUUUAUGCCUUUACUGAGGUCAUGGAAACAUAAAAGUAAAAUUACCUUGACCUCAAAGAAUUUGACCCAAAAUUGAGCAUGUGUUCUCUCGUAAGGAUCGCUAGGCCACAAAGGAUAUUGUGGCCACUUCUCAUCUAGGUAUUCUAAGAUGACCACGGAUUUGCAGAUCGAUCGUCCACCAUGCACAAGCGCCGGAGUUAUCUUGUAUACUGGGCUAUAUUGUAAAAGCUGGGGACUCUUAUUGAGCAGAUAUUCAUUGAUGUACUCAAAGGGAAUGCCCUUGACUUGAGCUUCAAUGCCCAUAUUACCCUGGAAGUGAACGGCCUUGGCCACGCUCCAUAUAACUUCACUUCUUCGCCCAUUUCUUUUUAGACUAAUAGAUUCUCAGCUUGUUUAAUUAGGUUAUUACGUGAGGAGAGUAGUUUAUAGAGUUAACUGAUUUCAUGUUUGCUUGGAGAAGAAGCCAGAGGCUUGAAUUUUGUCAUUUGUUCAUAUUCUUUAGGUGUGUGAUUUUGAGUAAUUCAUAGAGUUAAUAGAGUCCAUAUUUGCUUGGACAAGCAGUCGACAGGCUUGACCUUUGUCA
Molecule: non-coding RNA, 3038 nt
Organism: Punica granatum (pomegranate)
Lineage: Eukaryota; Viridiplantae; Streptophyta; Magnoliopsida; Myrtales; Lythraceae
Source: RefSeq, a predicted model, not a curated record